Molecule: ribosomal RNA, 368 nt
Filed under: uncultured organism
Description: bacterial SSU rRNA
Rfam family: Bacterial small subunit ribosomal RNA
Source: RNAcentral
CGGAGGGUGCAAGCGUUGUCCGGAUUUAUUGGGUUUAAAGGGUGCGUAGGCGGCCUUAUAAGUCAGUGGUGAAAGCCCAUAGCUCAACUAUGGAACUGCCAUUGAUACUGUAAGGCUUGAGUACAGACGAGGUAGGCGGAAUUGAUUGUGUAGCGGUGAAAUGCAUAGAUACAAUCAAGAACACCGAUUGCGUAGGCAGCUUACUAGGCUGUAACUGACGCUGAGGCACGAAAGCGUGGGGAGCGAACAGGAUUAGAUACCCUGGUAGUCCACGCUGUAAACGAUGAUUACUCGAUGUUGGCGAUAAACUGUCAGCGUCUUAGCGAAAGCGUUAAGUAAUCCACCUGGGGAGUACGCCCGCAAGGGUG